This 68-nucleotide transfer RNA is filed under the name Camelus bactrianus (Bactrian camel). It matches the Rfam family "tRNA". Rfam says of the family: Transfer RNA (tRNA) molecules are approximately 80 nucleotides in length. RNAcentral also lists the same sequence under 1 other name. Lineage: Eukaryota; Metazoa; Chordata; Mammalia; Artiodactyla; Camelidae. The record is from Rfam by way of RNAcentral.
GGGGAUAGCUCAGUGGUAGAGUGCCUGCCUAGCAUGCACAGUCUUGGGUUCAAUCCCCAGUACCUCCA